AUGAAUUUUCUUUCCAACUUAUUUCUAUUUAGCCACAACAAGAUGAAUGGCAAUUUAUGUUGUGGUUCAGAAGUCUAUGACCACCACAACCAGUUGUUGAGAUGCUGCUCAGGUCAUCUCUACAACCUAACACGUUUAAGUGGGGAAACAGAGUGCUGUGGAAACCAUCUGCUGGAAUAUAAGACACAAACUUGCUGUUCUUCCUCAACCAAUGCCAUAAUUUAUGACACCAAAUCAAACCACUAUUGCUGUGGGCAUUUCUAUUACAACACGUCCCUGUGGAGCUGCUGUGCUGAACAUCUCAAACCAACACCAACGCCUAACAGCUCUCCUGCAGAAUACAGGCUUAAACCACUAAUGGACCUGAUCCCUGAAAUGUGCAAUAAAACAGUGUUCUUUGGCAAAGUGGAGAGUUUGGCACUUGAAAAUUAUCAGCGUCUCAUUGUGUUGAAAGUUGUUGGACAGGUCGAUGUAAAAUCGGAAAAGGUCAUCAAAGACCCUUGGCUUCAUGUGUCCCUGCAUCACUGCAGCUCUCCUGCCACAGAGAACGGCAUGAUCUACCUUUGGGAGGAAAACAACGAUAGGACGUACAAGCUUCUCUCUCACCCUGUUGACCUAACCUCUGACAUUCACAUGUUCUAUGCUGUAUGUUACCAAAAGAUGGGAUAGAAAUAUGGAUUGAGGUCUAUUUCCAAUUAUUUCAAACCAAAUUCAAUGCAUGCUGGUUGUCAUGAGAUUUAUGUCCGGAAAAUACAUUUUAUCCAUCAUUAAUGCUAAAUGACCCAUACAUAAUGUGUGUUAAGGGCCACUAUAUUAAAAAAAAAAAGCUAAGAACCUUUACUCUCUUAAGACAGGCUUUCAAAAGUCUUUGUUGCUGUAUCAUUGCACAGCUUUAUGGCAGAGGCAUCACAUGUGCAUCUGUGCAUUUUGCCUCAUUGGUUAUUUUUAUUUCAUUCCAAUAAUGGAUUGACCCUGUUUGGAGUGCAAAGGGGAUAGCUCACCCAAAAAUGAGAAUUUGCUGAAUUUACUCACCCUCAGGCCAUCCAAGAUGUAGGUGGUGACUUUUACUUUUAUAAAUUUUUUUAGUUGAACAGUAAAAAAGAUUUUUAGCUGAAACCGUGGUCUUUGGUGAUUCAUAAAAUGCGAGUCAGUGGCUUUAUGUGACAUUAUUACCUGUAAUUAUGAUUAUUAUUACCUGUAAUCCACAUAAAUCUGAUUAUUUUCCGUGUACUGGCUCUUUCGGACAACUUUUUUUCUAUGAAUUGGUUCAGUUCACUAGUUAGUUUAUGUAAUCAUGCAAUGAAUAAACAGGCUAUACGAAAUCAUAUUAUUAAAGCACCCAGUAAUUAUGUGAAUCACGGAUGUUUUGCAAGUCUAUAGCAUAUAAAGUGAAUAAGUGAACUGGUCUUCAUCAGCUCACCUUUUUAAAUAAACAAAGACAAACUAUAAAAACUUUAAUUUCGCCCCUUCAUUCAAGUGCUUGGUUCAUGCAUGCACUUAUCACUGGUCUUCUGAGUCAGAACUGUUUCCUCAGUGCAGUGUACUGUUGGAGUAACUGGGGCACUGGAUGAGCCGGUAAAAACCAGCAUCAUAGGAUCAUAUAUGGUAUUUUGGCUCAUUUCGAGUUGGUGUGACUGUCAGGCAUGUGCGAAAGUGAGUUUUGAUUGAGUAACUUGUAGAUCAGUGCUGCUCAAGUCACGAACUGACGGUUCAGUCCGAUUUGUAAACUGGUUCAUCUAGUUCACUAAAAAGAAAUAGGCUAAAAACCGGACAUCAUCUUUACCAGAAAUCUUCUUUACAGUUCUACUCAAGAAAAAAAAAAAAGUCGCCUACAUCUUGGUUGGUCUGAGGGUGAGUAAAUUAACAGAAAAUUUUCAGUUUUGGGUGAACUAUUCUUUUAAGCUAUUUAAUCAGUCAGGUCA
This 1922-nucleotide long non-coding RNA is filed under the name Sinocyclocheilus grahami. RNAcentral describes it as "lncRNA (ENSSGRG00000000233.1)". Lineage: Eukaryota; Metazoa; Chordata; Actinopteri; Cypriniformes; Cyprinidae. The record is from RNAcentral.